AAGUCGUAACAAGGUUUCCGUAGGUGAACCUGCGGAAGGAUCAUUAACAUUUUCCAAAACCUUCUUCUCAACCCCAACCAUAUGUCGUUAAUUCGUUAUAUCUCUUCUAUAAACAGUCGAUUGUUAUGAAUGAAAGCAUUUUUAAUGUUUUGUGUGUAAAGCAAGAUAGAGAAAGUGUGAUUAGUUUUAGCAAUUGGCAACUCGUUUUUUAACCCCAAACCCAACCUAAACAUUAUUUAGAACAGUUAAACGGAAGUUUGGAGAAAUCCCUACAACCGUGUUUUAUUGAAAGAUAAAACGAAACCAAGUACAACUCUAAGCGAUGGAUGUCUCGGCUCUU
Molecule: unclassified non-coding RNA, 340 nt
Filed under: fungal sp.
Lineage: Eukaryota; Fungi
Description: partial internal transcribed spacer region
Rfam family: Eukaryotic small subunit ribosomal RNA (bases 1-46)
Source: RNAcentral